AGCAGUCGCCACGGUAAUACGAAGGGUGCAAGCGUUACUCGGAAUUACUGGGCGUAAAGCGUGUGUAGGUGGUUGUUUAAGUCUGUCGUGAAAGCCCUGGGCUCAACCUGGGAAUUGCGAUGGAUACUGGGCGACUAGAGUGCGGUAGAGGAUAGUGGAAUUUCCGGUGUAGCAGUGAAAUGCGUAGAGAUCGGAAGGAACAUCUGUGGCGAAGGCGACUAUCUGGGCCAACACUGACACUGAGACACGAAAGCGUGGGGAGCAAACAGGAUUAGAUACCCGCGUAGUCCCUGUCUCUUAUAC
This 303-nucleotide ribosomal RNA is filed under the name uncultured bacterium. RNAcentral describes it as "partial 16S ribosomal RNA". It matches the Rfam family "Bacterial small subunit ribosomal RNA", at positions 507 to 807 of the family's 1533-position model. The record is from RNAcentral.